RNAcentral lists this ribosomal RNA (274 nucleotides) under uncultured bacterium. RNAcentral's name for it is "partial 16S ribosomal RNA". It matches the Rfam family "Bacterial small subunit ribosomal RNA", at positions 523 to 796 of the family's 1533-position model. The record is from RNAcentral.
AUACGGAGGGAGCGAGCGUUAAUCGGAAUUACUGGGCGUAAAGCGCGCGUAGGCGGCUUUGUAAGUCGGAUGUGAAAGCCCAGGGCGCAACCCUGGAAUUGCAUUCGAUACUGCACGGCUAGAGUAUGGUAGAGGGAAGUGGAAUUUCCGGUGUAGCGGUGAAAUGCGUAGAUAUCAGAAGGAACACCAGUGGCGAAGGCGACUUCCUGGGCCAAUACUGACGCUGAGGUGCGAAAGCGUGGGGAGCAAACAGGAUUAGAAACCCCAGUAGUCC